GAUGAACGCUAGCGAAGGCUUAACACAUGCAAGUCGAGGGACCGGCGGAUGGGUGCGUAACGCGUAUGCAACUUGCCUCACAGAGGAGAAUAACUCGGAGAAAUCCGGACUAAUGCUACAUACUGUGAGAUAGGCAUGCGUCCUAUUAGGUAGUUGGUGAGGUAACGGCUCACCAAGCCGACGAUAGGAAGGGGUGCUGAGAGGCAGAUCCCCGACAUUGGGACUGAGACCCGGCCCAAACGCCUACGGAAGGCAGCAGUGAGGAAUAUUGGUCAAGGGAGUAAAAUCUGAACCAGCCAAGUCGCUUGAAGGAAGAAUGUCUAAGGAUUGUAAACUUCUUUAGCGGGAAGGUCGGUAGCUCGAGAAUAAGUAUCGGCUAACUCCGUGCCAGCAGCCGCGGUAAUUC
Molecule: ribosomal RNA, 406 nt
Filed under: uncultured bacterium
Lineage: Bacteria
Description: partial 16S ribosomal RNA
Rfam family: Bacterial small subunit ribosomal RNA
Source: RNAcentral